AGCCAUGCCGCGUGUAUGAAGAAGGCCUUCGGGUUGUAAAGUACUUUCAGCGGGGAGGAAGGUGUUGAGGUUAAUAACCUCAGCAAUUGACGUUACCCGCAGAAGAAGCACCGGCUAACUCCGUGCCAGCAGCCGCGGUAAUACGGAGGGUGCAAGCGUUAAUCGGAAUUACUGGGCGUAAAGCGCACGCAGGCGGUCUGUUAAGUCAGAUGUGAAAUCCCCGGGCUUAACCUGGGAACUGCAUUUGAAACUGGCAGGCUUGAGUCUCGUAGAGGGGGGUAGAAUUCCAGGUGUAGCGGUGAAAUGCGUAGAGAUCUGGAGGAAUACCGGUGGCGAAGGCGGCCCCCUGGACGAAGACUGACGCUCAGGUGCGAAAGCGUGGGGAGCAACAGGAUUAGAUACCCUGGUAGUCCACGCCGUAACGAUGUCGACUUGGAGGUUGUUCCCUUGAGGAGUGGCUUCCGGAGCUACGCGUUAAGUCGACCGCCUGGGGAGUACGGCCGCAGGUUAAACUCAAUGAAUUGACGGGGGCCCGCACAAGCGGUGGAGCAUGUGGUUUAAUUCGAUGCAUCGCGAGAACCUUACCUACUCUUGACAUCCAGCGAACUGGGCCAGAGAUGGCUUGGUGCCUUCGGGAACGCUGAGACAGGUGCUGCAUCGUACUU
RNAcentral lists this ribosomal RNA (665 nucleotides) under Pantoea stewartii. Its description in RNAcentral is "bacterial SSU rRNA". It matches the Rfam family "Bacterial small subunit ribosomal RNA", at positions 390 to 1053 of the family's 1533-position model. Lineage: Bacteria; Pseudomonadati; Pseudomonadota; Gammaproteobacteria; Enterobacterales; Erwiniaceae. The record is from RNAcentral.